UAAAUUUAUUUUCUACUUUUAAUAUUCAGUGAAUCAAUGCAUUUCUGAAUUAAAAUAUAUUGUAUAAAUUUGUUAUAAUACAAUAUGCAUGCAACAAAAAUACCGAUACCGAUAUUUUGAAUUUAGGGCCGAUAUACCGAUAAGCUGAUAUGAUAUGGAUAUCGGUGCAUCACUAAAAAAGUCUGCGGAGAUUUUUUCCACGAUUGUAGUUCAAACUGUCGAACUUCAGUUGAAUAUUGAAUGGCAAGGUGCUAUUAAU
This is a non-coding RNA of Paramuricea clavata, 259 nucleotides long. The record is from the annotation of a GenBank genome assembly. Lineage: Eukaryota; Metazoa; Cnidaria; Anthozoa; Malacalcyonacea; Plexauridae.